CCAAAUGGGCCAGUGCAAAUCCUACUUGGAUAACUGUGGUAAUUCCAGAGCUAAUACAUGCAACUGAUAUCCCGAAGGCGGUGUUUGGGCUUGCUUGCCUUGCACUUCGCUGCUCUGACGGAUGCUUUUAUUAGACCAAACCGCUGAGGACUUGAGGGUUCGCGCUCUCUUGUCUGACUCGUGCGAUGGUGACUCUGGAUAACCAAAUUCUGACAAGCGCACGUACUUCUCUUCUGAGCGAGACGGCGCUGCCACUUUCGAGUGUCUGCCUUAUCAGCUAUCAACCGUUCGUUAUGCGCGACCGAUGGCUUUGACGGGUAACGGGGAAUCAGGGUUCGAUUCCGGAGAGGCAGCCUGAGAGACGGCUACCACGUCCAAGGACGGCAGCAGGCACGCAAAUUACCCAAUCCCAGCAAAUGGGGGAGGUAGUGACGAAAUCUAACGAUGCGGGCGCCCUUUCUGGGGCCCCGCAAUCGGAAUGGGCACUUUCUAAACAACCUGUUGAGAACCUACUGAAGG
This 519-nucleotide ribosomal RNA is filed under the name Eulimnogammarus vittatus. RNAcentral's name for it is "bacterial SSU rRNA". It matches the Rfam family "Eukaryotic small subunit ribosomal RNA", at positions 117 to 554 of the family's 1831-position model. Lineage: Eukaryota; Metazoa; Arthropoda; Malacostraca; Amphipoda; Eulimnogammaridae. The record is from RNAcentral.